CAGAGGGGCCCCACGUCCACGCCCUGCCCCAGUGGCUGGAGAGGCUGAAAACAAAGAGAACCAUCAUGAGGCAAACGCUAUGAGUCAGCAGCCGCUUCGGCGUGGGUACAGGCGCCCAUACAACUAUCGGCGUCGGCCACGCCCACCCAAUGCUCCGGCUCAGGAUGGGAAAGAGACAAAGGUGACUGAAACACCUGCUGAAAAUCCUGCUCCAGUGACUGAGCAAAGUGGUGCUGAGUAAUGUCCGGCUCCCCAGGCACCUUUACCAUCCCUCAGGUGUCCAAAAAUACAACUCAAAAGUAACACCAAAGAAACACUCCAGCAAUAAAUCAUCAACUGUCAUGAUGAAAGCAAAGAUUCAAAACAUUGGAACUUUAAAAGAAAAAAUAUUACCACCAGCUGAGAUCCAGGGAACGCCUGCAAGAUUGAUGCAUGAAGAGAGAACAAGAGAGCGAGAUUCAGGAAGAGCAACCUCCCCAGUUUCAACAGCAACUGUGGGUUUUUUUUUUUUAUUUUU
Long non-coding RNA from Eurypyga helias (sunbittern), 517 nucleotides. RefSeq lists it as uncharacterized. NCBI's taxonomy places the organism in Eukaryota, Metazoa, Chordata, Aves, Eurypygiformes, Eurypygidae. The record is from RefSeq and is a predicted model, not a curated record. The transcript has 3 exons.